UUGGGAUGAUGAAUUCUUACCUUCUCAUGGUGUCCGGUGUGAGUACUCGCAGUAUGGCGAGGAAGCUAAGAGGAAUU
This 77-nucleotide non-coding RNA is filed under the name Coccidioides immitis RS. Lineage: Eukaryota; Fungi; Ascomycota; Eurotiomycetes; Onygenales; Onygenaceae. The record is from RNAcentral.